UACGUAGGCAGCGAGCGUUGUUCGGAAUUACUGGGCGUAAAGAGUGUGUAGGCGGUGCUCUAAGUUCGGUGUGAAAUCUCCUGCUUAACUGGGAGGGUGCGCCGGAAACUGGAGUGCUCGAGCGUGGGAGAGGAAAGCGGAAUUCCUGGUGUAGCGGUGAAAUGCGUAGAUAUCAGGAGGAACACCUGCGGUGUAGACGGCUUCUGGACCAUUGCUGACGCUGAGACACGAAAGCGUGGGUAGCAAACAGG
RNAcentral lists this ribosomal RNA (251 nucleotides) under uncultured bacterium. Its description in RNAcentral is "partial 16S ribosomal RNA". It matches the Rfam family "Bacterial small subunit ribosomal RNA", at positions 524 to 776 of the family's 1533-position model. The record is from RNAcentral.